RNAcentral lists this ribosomal RNA (305 nucleotides) under uncultured bacterium. RNAcentral describes it as "partial 16S ribosomal RNA". It matches the Rfam family "Bacterial small subunit ribosomal RNA", at positions 508 to 807 of the family's 1533-position model. The record is from RNAcentral.
ACAGCAGCCGCCGCGGUAAUACGUAGGGUGCAAGCGUUAAUCGGAAUUACUGGGCGUAAAGCGUGCGCAGGCGGUUCUAUAAGACAGAUGUGAAAUCCCCGGGCUCAACCUGGGAACUGCAUUUGUGACUGUAGAGCUGGAGUACGGCAGAGGGGGAUGGAAUUCCGCGUGUAGCAGUGAAAUGCGUAGAUAUGCGGAGGAACACCGAUGGCGAAGGCAAUCCCCUGGGCCUGUACUGACGCUCAUGCACGAAAGCGUGGGGAGCAAACAGGAUUAGAUACCCGGGUAGUCCCUGUCUCUUAUAC